CUAAGUACUGGUGCCGCGGGA
This 21-nucleotide microRNA is filed under the name Melibe leonina. Its description in RNAcentral is "mle-miR-252a-5p". Its record names the gene mle-miR-252a-5p. Lineage: Eukaryota; Metazoa; Mollusca; Gastropoda; Nudibranchia; Dendronotidae. RNAcentral also lists the same sequence under 2 other names. The record is from miRBase by way of RNAcentral.